RNAcentral lists this ribosomal RNA (291 nucleotides) under uncultured Desulfobacterium sp. RNAcentral describes it as "partial 16S ribosomal RNA". It matches the Rfam family "Bacterial small subunit ribosomal RNA", at positions 1089 to 1382 of the family's 1533-position model. The record is from RNAcentral. Lineage: Bacteria; Pseudomonadati; Thermodesulfobacteriota; Desulfobacteria; Desulfobacterales; Desulfobacteriaceae.
GCAACGAGCGCAACCCCUAUCUCUAGUUGCCAGCGAUUCGGUCGGGGACUCUAGAGAUACUGCCCGGUUAACGGGAGGAAGGUGGGGAUGACGUCAAGUCCUCAUGGCCCUUAUGCCCAGGGCUACACACGUGCUACAAUGGGCGGUACAAAGGGUAGCGAUGCCGCGAGGUGAAGCCAAUCCCAAAAAGCCGUCCACAGUUCGGAUUGGAGUCUGCAACUCGACUCCAUGAAGCCGGAAUCGCUAGUAAUCGUGGAUCAGCAUGCCACGGUGAAUACGUUCCCGGGCCUU